AAAAGAAGAAGAAGAAGAAGAAGAAGAGGCUGGAGUCCCACUGAACCUACAGAAUUCAUCAUUGCCGCCGAGACAAGCGAAGAGGCUGGAGUCCUACUGAACCCGACCCAUGGUCUCACCUACAACGCUACCGUGAUUCAAUGGUAAGUUGGUAACCCAUUAGCAGUCCACUCAUAUUCAGAGUGGCCCAAUUUCAGCACUGCAGAUUUCUGUUUUCCAUAGGAGAAGAUGCGGCAACUUUGGUGCCGGAAAUCAUUGUGGGUUUCUUGUUAUGCUUUACGAUGCUAUUGUCCAAGAGAGGACUCGACUCCUUGUGAUUUUUCCAGUUGUUCCUGCUCGUGUGUAAAGCAUUAUUAGGUUUAAAUGANNN
Molecule: long non-coding RNA, 370 nt
Filed under: Manihot esculenta (cassava)
Lineage: Eukaryota; Viridiplantae; Streptophyta; Magnoliopsida; Malpighiales; Euphorbiaceae
Description: long non-coding RNA (MESC_LNC008938)
Source: RNAcentral